This 134-nucleotide small nucleolar RNA is filed under the name Catagonus wagneri (Chacoan peccary). Its description in RNAcentral is "Small nucleolar RNA SNORA70 (ENSCWAG00000011438.1)". It matches the Rfam family "Small nucleolar RNA SNORA70". From Rfam's summary of the family: snoRNA U70 seems to be exclusive to mammals and is a member of the H/ACA class of snoRNA which contain H (ANANNA) and ACA box motifs. The record is from Rfam by way of RNAcentral. Lineage: Eukaryota; Metazoa; Chordata; Mammalia; Artiodactyla; Tayassuidae.
UUGCGGCCAAUCACGCCAACUGUGCUCGUUUCCCCGCGGGGGUCAGUGUGCAUCGGCCACGAACAGCAGUGUCCUCGGUAAAGUGUGCAGCCCGUUGCCUGUGUGGGUGGCCCUAGGGGACCUUGCAGACAGCC